RNAcentral lists this ribosomal RNA (524 nucleotides) under uncultured bacterium. RNAcentral's name for it is "partial 16S ribosomal RNA". It matches the Rfam family "Bacterial small subunit ribosomal RNA", at positions 28 to 523 of the family's 1533-position model. The record is from RNAcentral.
GACGAACGCUGGCGGCGUGCCUAAUACAUGCAAGUCGAACGAAGCUGUUUUAACUGGUCCUUGCACCGACUUAAACAACUGAGUGGCGAACGGGUGAGUAACACGUGGGUAACCUGCCCCAAAGCGGGGGAUAACAUCUGGAAACAGAUGCUAAUACCGCAUAACCACAGAAACCACAUGGUUUCUGUGUCAAAGAUGGUUUCGGCUAUUACUUUGGGAUGGACCCGCGGGGUAUUAGCUAGUUGGUAAGGUAAUGGCUUACCAAGGCAAUGAUACGUAGCUGAACUGAGCGGUUGAACGGCCACAUUGGGACUGAGACACGGCCCAAACUCCUACGGGGGGCAGCAGUAGGGAAUCUUCCACAAUGGACGAAAGUCUGAUGGAGCAACGCCGCGUGAGUGAAGAAGGUUUUCGGAUCGUAAAACUCUGUUGUCAGAGAAGAACGUGUGCGAGAGUAACUGCUCGUGCAGUGACGGUAUCUGGCCAGAAAGCCACGGCUAACUACGUGCCAGCCGCCGCGGUAA